GUUUUGUGGUUAUACCCACUUAACAACCUUAAAAGCACAUUACAUAACUUCAUAAUGUUAUCCCUCAGGCAUAAUUCAGAAUAUUUGGUGAUUUAAAAACCCAUCAGUUGUUCAAAGAUAAAAUACUAUGACCGUGUGUAUUGCCUAGAAUCCUUUUAGGCUUUUGAGCCACAUUGCCAUUAUUUUAUGCAAUAUAAGGUGUAGAUACCCAAGCAUUUCCUGACUUAUAUAUGCCUCGUAUAGCCUGGAUUCAAAUGUUUAAGUCGCCAUUCUCAUUACAGGUUGAUUUUAAAUCUUGAUCCAUUACCAACUAACUUUGAAGAGGAUACAGUAGAACUAUUUGGCAUCCAGUGGGUUACCGAAACAGCAUUAGCAACUUCAUGUCGAGAGCUCUUUCAUUUAUUCAGGCAACAGCUAUUCAACUUGGAAUCCUUAGUUCAAGUCAACUGUGAUUUUGGGAAGAUAGCCACCUUACAUUAAAAAGCAGACAGU
Non-coding RNA from Cricetulus griseus (Chinese hamster), 492 nucleotides. The record is from RefSeq and is a predicted model, not a curated record. Lineage: Eukaryota; Metazoa; Chordata; Mammalia; Rodentia; Cricetidae.